GACCGACUAGCUCAGUUGAUUAGAGCGUCGUGCUAAUAUUGCAUACAAGUGCAGCAGAUAUCAACGCGAAGGUCUUGGGUUCGAUCCCCACGUUGGCCA
Non-coding RNA from Marasmius tenuissimus, 99 nucleotides. Lineage: Eukaryota; Fungi; Basidiomycota; Agaricomycetes; Agaricales; Marasmiaceae. The record is from the annotation of a GenBank genome assembly.